Drosophila rhopaloa is the source of this 787-nucleotide long non-coding RNA. RefSeq lists it as uncharacterized. The transcript has 2 exons. The record is from RefSeq and is a predicted model, not a curated record. Lineage: Eukaryota; Metazoa; Arthropoda; Insecta; Diptera; Drosophilidae.
CGUUAACAGAAAUAUCGUAUCCUCAUUCAUGAUUUAAUAAUGAGUUUACUUUGAUUAUUUUGUCACCUUAUACGAAUUAUACUUUUCAAUAUCACUGUUUUACUAAAUACAUACAUAUGUAACUAUUUUUAAUCAGUUGCAUUUACUCCCACUGGUGACAGGCACACUACAACAAGCAAAUCUUUACUUUUUAUCAUCUGCGGUCAUAAUUCUUUAAUGGAUGAAAAUGGGUAACCCACUGUGGUUUGUCUUUUGGCUCUUAAUUAUGCUUUGGUUUUCGUUUUGUGUGGCCUUAAUUGGUUCUUUUUUCUACGUGUGGACAUACAUGUUUUCUCAAUGUAGUAAUUGCUUCCGGGGCAUGGCUGAUUUCUUUCUAAAGUGUGUCCAAUUUCCAGGAUAUUGUAUUGCAGCUAUGAUAAACUGUCAGCCAAUUUUCUAAACCUAAAUUGCUUUGAGAUGAAAAAUCCAGUGGAGUGCGAAUACAAAUAUGUUUAUGCGGAAAUAAGUUAAGCGAUUAAUAGUCCAAUAUAUUUUAAUUAUUUUCAACAAGCAAAUCUCCAUUAUCGCAUUAAAGGAAAAUCAAUUUUGGCUUAGAGAUUUGAUUUUGCUAAAUUAUUUUUAAAAAUGUGCUGAUGACAAUUUCCAUUGAAGCUGUGAAAUUGCUGAUGCAGUCUAAAACCGGUGAAUAUCCAUCACCAAAAAUGAGAACGGACAAUUCAACAAGCUUAACUUUUGUUAUAUUUUUUAUCAACAGGUUGAAAGUAAAGAAGGAAGUAUAUAGUAAAUA